GUGCCUCACUUUUGUAAUCUUAUUCAAAGGACUUUAAGUGUGGAUGUUGUCUAUCCUCUUUGCAAGGAGGCUUCAGAGGACUCUGACCAUUUGAUGUGAUCUUGUGGAAAAUUACAGAACUGUUAGGAUUCAUUCGAGGCUACAGUCAAGAGAUAAGUUCAAGCCAUGAUAAACUCUAGGUUUUUCCUAGAUCGCUGUCGAAUGAGCUAUGGAGUCCCCAGACAUCAGUAUUAUUAAGCUAAAUUUUGACACGUCCUUUCAAAGUGACUCUAGAACCUCUAAUGCAACAGUAUUAGCUAGAAAUUCUGAAGAUGAAAUUAUAAGGGCAUGUACUUAUCUUUUUGAAGAUGUUGUCGACGGUUUUGUGGCUAAAGCAAGGGCAUGCGAAAGGGCUAUGAUUUUUGUGUCUAAAAUGGGUUUUUGGUGUCUUCUCUUGGAAGGGGACUCUCUAUCGGUAAUAAAAAAACUCAAGAUAAAAGGGGAAGAUAAAUCAAUUCUCAGAUUGAUUACACACCAUAUUCGUACCCUUGAAAAUAACUUUGAAGAAGUCUCUUACCUAUUUGUUUCUUGAACAGUUAAUAGAGCGGCUCACACCUUGGCUUUGGAAGGAAGGAGACGACAAAUCCUUUGCGUCUAGGUAUAUGGAGCUCUAGAAUCGAUGAGGGCGAUGGCGGAUAAGGAUUGGAUGGCUUGGAUCUAGAAUCGCCAAGCUUAUUUUUAAAACCGCUUUGAAUAUGGAGAAGGUUCAAAGAAUCUCCAUUGAUGGGUUCAAAGCUUUUUAAUUUUCUUCAGUUUGCUCAUCUCAGUCACGUUUUUUACAAGAAGAGAAGAUAGGUGUUGGAUGAUAUUUUUGUUUUUGAGUCGUUUUGUUUUGGCAUGGGUUGGUUUUAUCUUUUGCAUUUAUCGGUUUUUUUGUUUUCUAUGUGCGGUUUUAUGGCUUGGCUGUUGGAUUGUUGCGUUUUGUCUUUUCAUUUUUCCCUAUUUGUUGAGACUUUGUUUACACCACCUUGAGCCGUGUGCCUUUUAAUGGAUAUCAGUCACUUUUUGCAAAAAAAAAAGAAAAGAAAAGAAAAUAAUUUAUUCUUUUUUAAA
Molecule: long non-coding RNA, 1092 nt
Organism: Gossypium arboreum
Lineage: Eukaryota; Viridiplantae; Streptophyta; Magnoliopsida; Malvales; Malvaceae
Exons: 2
Source: RefSeq, a predicted model, not a curated record